Molecule: ribosomal RNA, 443 nt
Filed under: uncultured Actinomycetales bacterium
Lineage: Bacteria; Bacillati; Actinomycetota; Actinomycetes; Actinomycetales
Description: bacterial SSU rRNA
Rfam family: Bacterial small subunit ribosomal RNA
Source: RNAcentral
ACGGGAGGCAGCAGUGGGGAAUAUUGCACAAUGGGCGCAAGCCUGAUGCAGCGACGCCGCGUGAGGGAUGACGGCCUUCGGGUUGUAAACCUCUUUCAGCAGGGAAGAAGCCUUUUGGGGUGACGGUACCUGCAGAAGAAGCACCGGCUAACUACGUGCCAGCAGCCGCGGUAAUACGUAGGGUGCGAGCGUUGUCCGGAAUUAUUGGGCGUAAAGAGCUUGUAGGCGGUUUGUCGCGUCUGCUGUGAAAAUCCGGGGCUCAACCCCGGACUUGCAGUGGGUACGGGCAGACUGGAGUGUGGUAGGGGAGACUGGAAUUCCUGGUGUAGCGGUGGAAUGCGCAGAUAUCAGGAGGAACACCGAUGGCGAAGGCAGGUCUCUGGGCCACUACUGACGCUGAGAAGCGAAAGCAUGGGGAGCGAACAGGAUUAGAUACCCUGGUA